This is a long non-coding RNA of Pyrus x bretschneideri (Chinese white pear), 210 nucleotides long. RefSeq lists it as uncharacterized. NCBI's taxonomy places the organism in Eukaryota, Viridiplantae, Streptophyta, Magnoliopsida, Rosales, Rosaceae. The record is from RefSeq and is a predicted model, not a curated record. The transcript has 3 exons.
UGUUCCACACGGUCGUCAUUGAGCACCAUGUCAUGCUGUUGUUGCCACACCAUUGCUAGUUGCAUUUGAGUUGCUCCUUUGUAUAUAUCUUGAAAGUGUUUCCGUUCAUGGUUUUGCAGCUGUCAACUUGAAGGUUGUCUUUCUACCCUUACUGGCCUUUGAAGUAAUUAUUCUAAUUGACAAUUUCAGGUAUCUCCUUUGACAUUUACU